This is a long non-coding RNA of Heterocephalus glaber (naked mole-rat), 433 nucleotides long. RefSeq lists it as uncharacterized. The record is from RefSeq and is a predicted model, not a curated record. NCBI's taxonomy places the organism in Eukaryota, Metazoa, Chordata, Mammalia, Rodentia, Bathyergidae.
GGAAGCACCAGUGAACGCUCCUGUAACAGUAAAUACAGAGUCUUCUGGGCUGCUGUGAAAGGGGGUAAUGAAGGUGCAGAAACUGAAUGCUUGUGCUUUCAAAUGAACCUGUACUUGGCUAAAGAGAAGAGGCCACUGAUGCUGAGUAACUGGGGUGAGACAGCUCAAUCGCCACCACAGGAGCCAGCCCGCCAGCCCAGUCCCUUCCUAGCCACCAGUCCUUGCGGGCUUCACUGCUUCCUCUCUAUCUGCUCCAAGACCACGCUCAGGACUCCCUUCCCCUCUCACCUAAGCCUGACAGGCUGCAAUGACGCCACUUCCCAGCUCCACUGCCACAGCUGAACUUGGCUGGUAUUUAUUUAGGUACGUAUUUAUUUAUUUAUGGCUGGUUUUUAGAGAUAAUAAAUCUGAGCUCCAAAAAAAUGUAAAUGAA